AUGGAAGAAGAGGAAUAUGAGAUUCCUGAUCUCAACCUUGAUCCUGGUGUGCAAGAAGUGCUGCAAGAUGAAGGUGAUGGGAUCCCUGACCUUAACCUGGUUCCUGCUGUGCAAGGAGAAGAUGCCUUCCAAUAUGAAGAUGAAGAGCUUCCUGACAACCAAUGUUUUGGUGCUCAUGAAGAUGAACAUCCAGGCCCUGCCAUGCAAGCAGUUGAACUCUCCAAUGGCCGGAGUGCACAAGAAAUUUGUCAUCUAAACAUGGAGCCAGACGAGGAGGAUUUUGAUGUUUAUUCUCCUUAUAUGGAUGUUGUCUUUGAUGAAGAUCUUCAUACAUCAAGUGAUGAGGAAGGUAUGACAUGCAAAUGGCAUUCAUUAGUGUACUGCAAGUAUAAAAUAUAUUGCCAACUGAUAUGUAUAUAUAUAAAUAUUUUCUUUGUGCAGAUACUCAACAAGACAAUAUAAAGAGAAGGAA
Molecule: long non-coding RNA, 472 nt
Filed under: Oryza sativa Indica Group (long-grained rice)
Lineage: Eukaryota; Viridiplantae; Streptophyta; Magnoliopsida; Poales; Poaceae
Description: lncRNA OsZS97_03G009500
Source: RNAcentral